Long non-coding RNA from Pogonomyrmex barbatus (red harvester ant), 396 nucleotides. The record is from RefSeq and is a predicted model, not a curated record. Lineage: Eukaryota; Metazoa; Arthropoda; Insecta; Hymenoptera; Formicidae.
UAAAAAUGAAAUAUAUAUACAAAGGAAUAUAUAAAAUGGAAUAUAUUAUACAAAGGAUAUAUCAAGAAACAUAAUGCAUACUAAUUAUAAACUGUUUAACAUCGAAUAUAACUAUUAUAAUCAAUUGCGUGCGCUAUGCUUUAGAAAUAAAAUCUGGAACAUUAUUCUCUGAGAAUGCAAAUGUAUUUACAUACAAUAAAAUGAACAAUUACCUGUGAUCGAUGAGUCUGGAAUAUCUGGGAAAUCCGAUGUACCCGGCUGAUGAGUGAAAUAUACAGUAAGAAUCACUAUGGCAGCUAUUGUUAUAGUUAGAAGGCAUGAAAGGAAAAACUAAAAUGGAUCUGAGUUAUCUAUUGUACAGCAUCGAUUAUUACCUUUAUUUGACUCGGUAUUUUG